Molecule: long non-coding RNA, 1675 nt
Organism: Homo sapiens (human)
Lineage: Eukaryota; Metazoa; Chordata; Mammalia; Primates; Hominidae
Gene: CELF2-AS2
Product: CELF2 antisense RNA 2
Source: Ensembl
GAGCACAGGAUCCCAGAGCAGAGAUGUGUGAAGGUGUCUGAGGAGCAGCCAGGGUGCUAGAGCACACAGCUGCAGAAUGACCUGGCUAAGAGAACACAAGAUGAGGAGAACAUUUACAUUGAGCUGGGGGAAUCAGAGAAGGAAUUAGGUUAGGUAUACGCAACCCAAAAUGAAAACCCAGUGGCCACCUCUGGUGGGCAAUUGAAAAAAUGCAAAUGAUGUCACAAAAGGCAGGGGCUGAAGACACAUCUAGGAGUCACUGUUGUCUUGGAGAUAAUCAAGUCAUGGCCAACUCUUCUGGAAGGUUUUGCUCAUCAGGAAAUCACAGGGUUGGAAAAAAAGAUGCUUGGCCAAACUACAUCGCAGCUGAACCAGGGUCUUCAUUCUGUGACAGUGGACCAGCUUCAGAGAAGGUAAUGGAUUCACUGGAUUACAGUCUGGUCUAAGAAUGUCAAAUUCAGAAACUAUGCAACUUCAAUGUGGCUGAAGAACUGUUAUCCCUCUGCAGUACAUGGGGGUUUGAGCUCACGUCAAUGUGCCUGACCUAAGGGCAAAUGGAGCUAAGCAGGAGGGAGAAUUAGACACUUGCCACGGCUUGGAGACAGGGUCUACUGCUCUCUGCUGAACCAGAGGAAAGAACACACUGGCUCCUGAACCUUCGCAGGAAGACAAGGCGAGGGCUGCUGGGUGCCCGUCGCUGCUCACAGCACAGAACGUCCCACUCCUCAGACUCUUUGUCCCCGUCCUAAGACUGUCCUUCACUUGGUCCAUCCAAUCCAAAAUAUGGGCAUACGAAACACACCUCAUCCUUCACACACACAACAUGCUCAACCUUCACUAGCCACGUGACUUUCUUUCUCACAUCAUCCUGAAUUUGCUUUUCUGGUGAGUACCCAGGGACAGCCCUGGUUCAGUGAUGAGGCCUCACAGCCUGUGGUGAGUGCUCACUGUUAGUGUGGCUUUGACUGGAACACAGUCCCUGCAGGGUGGCAUCCAGUGCUCCCUGACUCCAUGCAUGAGGUGUCAUGUGGUCAGUGGCCGCAUGGGUUAAACCCCAGAAGGCCAGACCUGGAGGAGAGAUCCAGCUCCAGCCCAUCUGGGAAGUCCCUGAUCGGGGGUGAUGAUGGUGACAAAGGUUGGUUGACCAGAGAGAUCCACCAUCCACCAUUUGGGGAUGUCCCUACCAGGUUGAGUACAGUGUGAGGAAAACCCCGUAGAAACUCAGGUACCCAGGAGGAUCCUAAAACCAAAAAGGCAAGAACAGAAUAUGCUAUACAUGGGCACUUGGUGACAAAGAAUAGAGACAAAAACUUGGUUUUCAGAAGUAUAAGGUCAAAGAUAGUUAGUGAUGGUGCCAAGCUACCCACUAUUGAACCGGAGCACUCAAUUCCCUGGUCCCAGAGUCAGGGUAGACCACAACCUUAUUAUAACCCAAGUGGCUCGAGGCAGAGAUAGCAUCGAAAGGUCCUAUCAUUGGGUAUUUUAUUUUCCCAGACUGCAUUUCCAUCUCUCAUGCAUAUCUCUUCUCCUAAAUCCUCCCAACUCAGAAAUUUACUUUUCAAUCUUCUGACUUUUCUUCAUACCUAAGAAGACUGGACAAAGUGCUUGAAAAGCAAAUGGAAACAUUUUAUGAAUAACUACGCAAAGGAAAGACAUAUAAAUAUUUUUAAAGGCA